Non-coding RNA from Callithrix jacchus (white-tufted-ear marmoset), 741 nucleotides. The record is from RefSeq and is a predicted model, not a curated record. Lineage: Eukaryota; Metazoa; Chordata; Mammalia; Primates; Cebidae.
AGAUACCAAGUCCAGCAUCUUUGGACAGGCAGAAGGCCCCUGCCUUCCACUCGGUGAUGGUGUCAGGGACUGUUACUUCUACCUCAGCUUCGCCUGCCGAGCUGGAGAGGAGGGCAAGUGAAGAACAGAAAAUAGCUGUCUUAGACUUGGACUCUGCUGCUCAACCUAGAUCUUCGGCUUUUUGGAAGCUGAAAUCUUACAACAUUUACAUUAAGAAAAUGAUACACAGUUAAUACACAUUGAAGCACAUGGAACUGUCAUCUGAGACUUCUAGAGUCAUAAAGAUCCAUUUGCACCUCUGCUGACAACAGGAAAAUUGUAAUAGAAGAUGUUUUUGGCUGGAAUGUGGACGUGCUGGCCAUAGUCAGACCUACCACCGUAGCCAUCAGAUGGAAGCCAUGUGUCAAGGAAGGCAGAACCACAAAGAAGAUAAAGCCGAAACCCUGGAAUCAUCAAAAGGCUACUCUAGUUGGGACUUCAUGUGACAGAGAAAUGCAUUCUCUUUGUUAAGCCUUUGUAUUUUGAGAAAAUGCAAGAUAAGCCUGGAAUAUCUUAUCCUACCAAACAGAAAGAAUGCUGCCAAAGACUACAGGGAUUAUGUCAAAAGCACUCCCCUGCCGCCCUUAACCCAUUUCCUGUUUAGAAAAAGUGCAGCUCCCUGCCAGCAUUCAUUUAAUUUUCGUAAACACAUUCUUUGAGGCUGAAGCAAGUCUGACUGAUUUUCAAUGUGAAAAUAAAAUA